This 253-nucleotide ribosomal RNA is filed under the name uncultured bacterium. Its description in RNAcentral is "partial 16S ribosomal RNA". It matches the Rfam family "Bacterial small subunit ribosomal RNA", at positions 524 to 776 of the family's 1533-position model. The record is from RNAcentral.
UACGAAGGGGGCUAGCGUUGCUCGGAAUCACUGGGCGUAAAGGGUGCGUAGGCGGGUCUUUAAGUCAGGGGUGAAAUCCUGGAGCUCAACUCCAGAACUGCCUUUGAUACUGAGGAUCUUGAGUACGGGAGAGGUGAGUGGAACUGCGAGUGUAGAGGUGAAAUUCGUAGAUAUUCGCAAGAACACCAGUGGCGAAGGCGGCUCACUGGCCCUGUACUGACGCUGAGGCACGAAAGCGUGGGGAGCAAACAGG